This 295-nucleotide signal recognition particle RNA is filed under the name Aotus nancymaae (Ma's night monkey). RNAcentral describes it as "Metazoan signal recognition particle RNA (ENSANAG00000006340.1)". It matches the Rfam family "Metazoan signal recognition particle RNA". Rfam says of the family: The signal recognition particle (SRP) is a universally conserved ribonucleoprotein. Lineage: Eukaryota; Metazoa; Chordata; Mammalia; Primates; Aotidae. The record is from RNAcentral.
ACAGGGUGCAGUGGCUUGUGCCUGUACCAGUUACUCAGGAGGCUGAGGUGGGAGGAUCACUUGAGCCCAGGAGUUCUAGGCUGUAGUGUGCUAUUCUGAUUGGGUGUCCACACUAAGUUCAGCAUCAAUAUGGUGACCUCUCAGGAGUGGGGGACCACCAGGUUGCCUAAGGAGGGGUGAACUGGCCCAGGUAGGAAACAGAGCAGGUCAAAACUCCCAUGCUGAUCAGUAGUGGCAUCACCUUGUGAAUAGCCAGUGCACUCCAGCUUGGGCAAUGUAGCAAGACCCCAUCUCU